AUUAAACGCUGGCGGCAUGCCUUACACAUGCAAGUCGAACGGCAGCACGGGGGCAACCCUGGUGGCGAGUGGCGAACGGGUGAGUAAAGCAUCGGAACGUGCCCUGGAGUGGGGGAUAACGUAGCGAAAGUUACGCUAAUACCGCAUAUUCUGUGAGCAGGAAAGCAGGGGAUCGCAAGACCUUGCGCUCUGGGAGCGGCCGAUGUCGGAUUAGCUAGUUGGUGGGGUAAAGGCCUACCAAGGCGACGAUCCGUAGCGGGUCUGAGAGGAUGAUCCGCCACACUGGGACUGAGACACGGCCCAGACUCCUACGGGAGGCAGCAGUGGGGAAUAUUGCGCAAUGGGCGAAAGCCUGACGCAGCCACGCCGCGUGAGCGAUGAAGGCCUUCGGGUCGUAAAGCUCUGUGGGGAGAGACGAAGAAAGCCCGUGAAGAGCGGGCCUUGACGGUAUCUCCUUAGCAAGCACCGGCUAACUCCGUGCCAGCAGCCGCGGUAA
This 496-nucleotide ribosomal RNA is filed under the name uncultured bacterium. Its description in RNAcentral is "bacterial SSU rRNA". It matches the Rfam family "Bacterial small subunit ribosomal RNA", at positions 29 to 523 of the family's 1533-position model. The record is from RNAcentral.